CAGGUAUAGUUCAACGGCAGAACGUCAGCCUUCCAAGCUGAAUAUGCGAGUUCGAUUCUCGUUACCUG
Molecule: transfer RNA, 68 nt
Filed under: human gut metagenome
Rfam family: tRNA
About the family: Transfer RNA (tRNA) molecules are approximately 80 nucleotides in length. Their secondary structure includes four short double-helical elements and three loops (D, anti-codon, and T loops). Further hydrogen bonds mediate the characteristic L-shaped molecular structure. tRNAs have two regions of fundamental functional importance: the anti-codon, which is responsible for specific mRNA codon recognition, and the 3' end, to which the tRNAs corresponding amino acid is attached (by aminoacyl-tRNA synthetases). tRNAs cope with the degeneracy of the genetic code in two manners: having more than one tRNA (with a specific anti-codon) for a particular amino acid; and 'wobble' base-pairing, i.e. permitting non-standard base-pairing at the 3rd anti-codon position.
Source: RNAcentral